GCAUGCUGUUAGAGCUUGUAAGGUAUAUGUGAUUUUACGAGUGUUGAAGUAUUGCAAAAGCAAAGGACGGGCACAAUUGCCAUGUGUUGGUAUUAUUGCUUCAAGUUAUUUGAAGCUGUAAUAUCAAUAAGCAUGUCUCGUGUGAAGUCCGACAAUU
RNAcentral lists this small nucleolar RNA (157 nucleotides) under Caenorhabditis elegans. The record is from RNAcentral. Lineage: Eukaryota; Metazoa; Nematoda; Chromadorea; Rhabditida; Rhabditidae.